Molecule: unclassified non-coding RNA, 279 nt
Filed under: Hevea brasiliensis (rubber tree)
Lineage: Eukaryota; Viridiplantae; Streptophyta; Magnoliopsida; Malpighiales; Euphorbiaceae
Source: RNAcentral
AAAAAAAAAAAAAAAGUUUGGGCCAAUACCAAAAGGGCUAAGGGAAAAAGUUUGGCCUUCAAUAAUGUAGAGAUAAUUCCCAACUUGAUUAAUGAUCGUCGAUAGGGGAAACCAACUUAGCACGCCUGUGAUUUGAGCUGAUGCAAUCAUAACCUACUCAAAUUCGGACCCAUUUGUGAGUUUUUCUUUACACACUCAAUUAUUAUUUUUCUUUAAUCAUUAUAUUUGAGCAUGUCAUUGUAGUCUCAAGUCAUCCUUGGGUGGCUUUCAAAGCAAAAU